Molecule: ribosomal RNA, 428 nt
Filed under: uncultured archaeon
Lineage: Archaea
Description: bacterial SSU rRNA
Rfam family: Archaeal small subunit ribosomal RNA
Source: RNAcentral
UACCUGCGGCUCGAGUGGUAACCGCUAUUAUUGGGCCUAAAGCGUCCGUAGCCGGUUUGGUAAAUAUCUGGGUAAAUCGUGAGGCUUAACUUCACGAAUUUCGGAUAGACUGCCAGACUUGGGAUCGGGGGAGGUCAGAGGUACUCCAGUGGUAGCGGUGAAAUGUUGUAAUCCUUGGAGGACCACCGGUAGCGAAGGCGUCUGACUAGAACGAGUCCGACGGUGAGGGACGAAGCCCUGGGGCGCAAACCGGAUUAGAUACCCGGGUAGUCCAGGGUGUAAACAAUGUGGGCUUUGUAUUGGAGGUUCCACGUGGGCGUCCAGUGCAGAAGAGAAGUUGUUAAGCCCACCGCCUGGGAAGUACGGUCGCAAGGCUGAAACUUAAAGGAAUUGGCGGGGAGCACAGCAACGGGAGGAGCGUGCGGUUU